Molecule: ribosomal RNA, 329 nt
Filed under: Ceuthophilus carlsbadensis
Lineage: Eukaryota; Metazoa; Arthropoda; Insecta; Orthoptera; Rhaphidophoridae
Description: partial 12S ribosomal RNA
Source: RNAcentral
AGUAUUAGUUAAGGUCUUGAAACUCAAAGAAUUUGGCGGUGUUUUAGUCUAUUCAGAGGAAUCUGUUCCAUUAUUGAUAAUACACAAAUAUUUUACUUAUUCUUGUAGAUCAGUUUGUAUACCGCCGUUAUCAGAUUAUUUUUUUAGGAAAUAAAUAUUCUUGAAUUUUUAUUAAGAAGUAUAUCAGGUCAAGGUGCAGCUAAUGAAUAAGUGGAAAUGGAUUACAAUAAAAUUAUUUAUACGAAUUUGAUGUUGAAAUAUAAAUAUGAAGGUGGAUUUGAAAGUAAUGUUAUAAAUUGUGAUAAUUUGAUUUAAGCUCUAAAAGAUGU